Molecule: long non-coding RNA, 371 nt
Organism: Hippocampus comes (tiger tail seahorse)
Lineage: Eukaryota; Metazoa; Chordata; Actinopteri; Syngnathiformes; Syngnathidae
Exons: 3
Source: RefSeq, a predicted model, not a curated record
UUUGUCCGGGCGGGUUGUUGUCGUCGGGUUUUUCGCGCUGGCUCAGCAGAGUCUGCGAGCGCCGCCGCGGCGUUGAUCCCCACAUUUAGGCGGGUACAAAGGCCGCGUCGCGACGCGGCGGCGGCGGGGGCCUAUAUGUACAGGCGGCGCGCCGCGAGCCUCGCAUCGGAAGCGGGCCGACGGUCAGAAUGCGGCGCGGCCGGGGGCUGCCGCCGCUCUUCGCCUGCGUCUGCGUCGCGCUCGCCCUGCUGCUCGCCCAUGCCGAGGACCGGGACGGCAUCUUCAGGAGGCCCCAGUGCAGCGGCACCGCGCUGACCCGAGCGUGUCCGCUCGACUACUCGCCCGUGUGCGGCAGCGACGGGAUCACCUAC